GACGAACGCUGGCGGCGUGCUUAAUACAUGCAAGUCGAACGGAAAGGCCCUGCUUUUGUGGGGUGCUCGAGUGGCGAACGGGUGAGUAACACGUGAGUAACCUGCCCUUGACUUUGGGAUAACUUCAGGAAACUGGGGCUAAUACCGGAUAGGAGCUCCUGCUGCAUGGUGGGGGUUGGAAAGUUUCGGCGGUUGGGGAUGGACUCGCGGCUUAUCAGCUUGUUGGUGGGGUAGUGGCUUACCAAGGCUUUGACGGGUAGCCGGCCUGAGAGGGUGACCGGCCACAUUGGGACUGAGAUACGGCCCUGACUCCUACGGGAGGCAGCAGUGGGGAAUAUUGCACAAUGGGCGGAAGCCUGAUGCAGCAACGCCGCGUGCGGGAUGACGGCCUUCGGGUUGUAAACCGCUUUCGCCUGUGACGAAGCGUGAGUGACGGUAAUGGGUAAAGAAGCACCGGCUAACUACGUGCCAGCAGCCGCGGUGAUACGUAGGGUGCGAGCGUUGUCCGGAUUUAUUGGGCGUAAAGGGCUCGUAGGUGGUUGAUCGCGUCGGAAGUGUAAUCUUGGGGCUUAACCCUGAGCGUGCUUUCGAUACGGGUUGACUUGAGGAAGGUAGGGGAGAAUGGAAUUCCUGGUGGAGCGGUGGAAUGCGCAGAUAUCAGGAGGAACACCAGUGGCGAAGGCGGUUCUCUGGGCCUUUCCUGACGCUGAGGAGCGAAAGCGUGGGGAGCGAACAGGCUUAGAUACCCUGGUAGUCCACGCUGUAAACGGUGGGUACUAGGUGUGGGGUCCAUUCCACGGGUUCCGUGCCGUAGCUAACGCUUUAAGUACCCCGCCUGGGGAGUACGGCCGCAAGGCUAAAACUCAAAGGAAUUGACGGGGCCCCGCACAAGCGGCGGAGCAUGCGGAUUAAUUCGAUGCAACGCGUAGAACCUUACCUGGGUUUGACAUGGAUCGGGAGUGCUCAGAGAUGGGUGUGCCUCUUUUGGGGUCGGUUCACAGGUGGUGCAUGGCUGUCGUCAGCUCGUGUCGUGAGAUGUUGGGUUAAGUCCCGCAACGAGCGCAACCCUUGUUCACUGUUGCCAGCACGUUAUGGUGGGGACUCAGUGGAGACCGCCGGGGUCAACUCGGAGGAAGGUGGGGAUGACGUCAAGUCAUCAUGCCCCUUAUGUCCAGGGCUUCACGCAUGCUACAAUGGCUGGUACAGAGAGUGGCGAGCCUGUGAGGGUGAGCGAAUCUCGGAAAGCCGGUCUCAGUUCGGAUUGGGGUCUGCAACUCGACCUCAUGAAGUCGGAGUCGCUAGUAAUCGCAGAUCAGCAACGCUGCGGUGAAUACGUUCCCGGG
RNAcentral lists this ribosomal RNA (1343 nucleotides) under uncultured bacterium. Its description in RNAcentral is "16S ribosomal RNA". It matches the Rfam family "Bacterial small subunit ribosomal RNA", at positions 28 to 1378 of the family's 1533-position model. The record is from RNAcentral.